GACAUUUCCACACUCAUCCUUGACCAUGUCUGUUCAUGGUGAUGUACUAAAAGUGAUGACUUCUGCUUCGCUUCAUCUUCCUAAUCCCAAAAAGCUGGACAUGGAAAGACCAGAUUUGUGAGCUGAUAACUGGCAUGUGCUUAAUGCUCCCAGGAACUUCUGAGAAGUUUAUUAAGGACACUUGCCUCUGGACCUCUCAGGACAAAGUCAAUCUAGGCCCAAAAUACACACCAUCAAUGCGUCUUCACCUGCAUGGAAGCAAUGGCUUCCAAAGGAACAGCUGAAUCCAGUUUGCAGUCUCAGCAAUGGCCUCAUGAAGCCCCCUGAAGACUCCACCGCAGAUACUGGCCUUCCCACCACAGAGAGCUGGAUUGCAGGCUCACAGAACCAGUGCUCCCAGCACAACCCAGGGACAAUCUCCUCAGAGUUCUGAGUUUCCCCUCCCAGGACCCCUCCUUCAGGCUUUGAUAAGUCCAACCUCUUGCUCUUGUCCUUCAGUGCAAUCAGGGUAACUGUGCCCUGUGCUUAUUACCUUAGAAUAAACUUUUUUUUA
This is a long non-coding RNA of Suricata suricatta (meerkat), 553 nucleotides long. RefSeq lists it as uncharacterized. Lineage: Eukaryota; Metazoa; Chordata; Mammalia; Carnivora; Herpestidae. The record is from RefSeq and is a predicted model, not a curated record. The transcript is spliced from 3 exons.